AUACGGAGGGUGCAAGCGUUAUUCGGAAUCACUGGGCGUAAAGGACGCGUAGGCGGGUUGGCAAGUCAGAUGUGAAAUCCUACAGCUUAACUGUAGAACUGCAUUUGAAACUGCUAACCUAGAGUAUGGGAGUGGGAGAUGGAAUUAGUGGUGUAGGGGUAAAAUCCGUAGAUAUCACUAGGAAUACCGAAAGCGAAGGCGAUCUCCUGGAACAUAACUGACGCUAAGGCGUGAAAGCGUGGGGAGCAAACAGGAUUAGAAACCCUAGUAGUCC
RNAcentral lists this ribosomal RNA (274 nucleotides) under uncultured bacterium. RNAcentral describes it as "partial 16S ribosomal RNA". It matches the Rfam family "Bacterial small subunit ribosomal RNA", at positions 523 to 796 of the family's 1533-position model. The record is from RNAcentral.